Molecule: ribosomal RNA, 628 nt
Filed under: uncultured Ascomycota
Lineage: Eukaryota; Fungi; Ascomycota
Description: eukaryotic LSU rRNA
Rfam family: Eukaryotic large subunit ribosomal RNA
Source: RNAcentral
ACCCGCUGAACUUAAGCAUAUCAAUAAGCGGAGGAAAAGAAACCAACAGGGAUUGCCUUAGUAGCGGCGAGUGAAGCGGCAAAAGCUCAAAUUUGAAAUCUGGCGCCUUCGGUGUCCGAGUUGUAAUUUGAAGAUUGUAACCUUGGGGUUGGCUCUUGUCUAUGUUUCUUGGAACAGGACGUCACAGAGGGUGAGAAUCCCGUGCGAUGAGAUGCCCAAUUCUAUGUAAGGUGCUUUCGAAGAGUCGAGUUGUCUGGGAAUGCAGCUCUAAGUGGGUGGUAAAUUCCAUCUAAAACUAAAUAUUGGCGAGAGACCGAUAGCGAACAAGUACAGUGAUGGAAAGAUGAAAAGAACUUUGAAAAGAGAGUGAAAAAGUACGUGAAAUUGUUGAAAGGGAAGGGUUUGAGAUCAGACUCGAUAUUUUGUGAGCCUUGCCUUCGUGGCGGGGUGACCCGCAGCUUAUCGGGCCAGCAUCGGUUUGGGCGGUAGGAUAAUGGCGUAGGAAUGUGACUUUACUUCGGUGAAGUGUUAUAGCCUGCGUUGAUGCUGCCCGCCUAGACCGAGGACUGCGAUUUUAUCAAGGAUGCUGGCAUAAUGAUCCCAAACCGCCCGUCUUGAAACACGGACC